AGUGAACGCUGGCGGCAGGCCUAACACAUGCAAGUCGAACGGCAGCACAGUAAGAGUUUGCUCUUACGGGUGGCGGGUGGCGGACGGGUGAGGAGUACAUCGGAAUCUACUUUUUCGUGGAGGAUAACGUAGGGAAACUUACGCUAAUACCGCAUACGACCUACGGGUGAAAGCAGGGGAUAGUCGGACCUUGCGCGAUUGAACGAGCCGAUGUCGGAUUAGCUAGUCGGCUGGGUAAAGGCCCACCAAGGCGACGAUCCGUAGCUGGACUGAGAGGAUGAUCGGCCACCCUGGAGCUGAGACACGGUCCAGACUCCUACGGGAGGCACCAGUCGGGAACAGUGGGCAAUGGGCGCAAGCCUGAUCCAGCCAUCCCGAGUGUGUGACGAAGGCCUUCGGUUCGUAAAGACCGCUUUCUGGGAAAGAACAGCAGCCGCCUGAUACCACGCGGUACUGACGGUACCCAAUGAAGAAGCACCGGCUAACUACGUG
RNAcentral lists this ribosomal RNA (492 nucleotides) under uncultured bacterium. Its description in RNAcentral is "partial 16S ribosomal RNA". It matches the Rfam family "Bacterial small subunit ribosomal RNA", at positions 29 to 507 of the family's 1533-position model. The record is from RNAcentral.